GCCUACAGCCAUGCCACUCUGAACACACCUGAUCCCAUCUGAUCUUGGAAGUUAAGCAAGGUCGGGUCUGAUUAGUACUUGGCUGGGAGACCACCUAGGAAGACUGGGCGCUGUAGGCG
This 119-nucleotide ribosomal RNA is filed under the name Pteropus alecto (black flying fox). The record is from RNAcentral. Lineage: Eukaryota; Metazoa; Chordata; Mammalia; Chiroptera; Pteropodidae.